GUUAAAUUGAUUAAACGUCUGUUAAUUUUUUUUCAUGUUUUUUCCAACGUGGCUGGUAAAAGAAUAAAGAAAAAGAAAAGAAAAUGACAUGAGUUGUACUGUGCUUACGUGGUUUAAUAUAUUCAUAAUUUCUCUUCUUUCUUUUUUAUCACCCAGUAUUAGUAACACCUUCAUAAUCAAAGAGAAGCUAGCUAGUACCUACUACACCUCCACUAAGAAAUAGACAAAAGAAAAGACAAGAGCAAGGAAUUUCACUCCCUCCUACCUUCACCCGCAACGGAACCCCUGAAUCAUCACGAACCAACAUCAAAGAACUCACCUACGGCGACAGGGAAAUUCUUACCCCAUCCGGCUCAUCACUUUCUUCUUGCUAAUUAGUGACGGAGAAGGAACAAAACAUAACUU
RNAcentral lists this long non-coding RNA (405 nucleotides) under Panax ginseng (ginseng). RNAcentral describes it as "long non-coding RNA (PGIN_LNC005546)". Lineage: Eukaryota; Viridiplantae; Streptophyta; Magnoliopsida; Apiales; Araliaceae. The record is from RNAcentral.